Molecule: non-coding RNA, 414 nt
Organism: Motacilla alba alba
Lineage: Eukaryota; Metazoa; Chordata; Aves; Passeriformes; Motacillidae
Source: the annotation of a RefSeq genome assembly
AUGGCCACGCCCACUAUCCUGAACUCAUCAGGAUUCUCAUCCCCAUCUCCCCUUUUCCCCGCAGGGCUGCGGGCGGCCGUGACCCUGCUGGAGUCCGGGGGGGACCUCCGGCCCCCCGGGGGGUCCCUGCGCCUCCUCUGCCGAGCCUCCGGCUUCGAUUUCGGCAGUUUUGCCAUGCAAUGGGUUCGACAGAGACCCGGGCAGACGCUGGAAUUUGUCGCAUACAUCAGCAACGGUGGCAGCACCUGGUACCCGCCGUCGGUCAAGGGCCGGGUCACGAUCUCCAGGGACAACGGGCAGAGCUCGGUGACGCUGACCAUGAGCAUCCUCAAGGACGAGGAUUCCGGAUCCUAUUUCUGCGCCAGGGGUGCUGAUGGUUAUGGUGCUGCUGGUUAUUGGGGAUUUUGGGACAUU